GAUUGCCCUAGUAACGGCGAGUGAAGCGGCAACAGCUCAAAUUUGAAAUCUGGCCCCCCGGCCCGAGUUGUAAUUUGUAGAGGAUGCUUCUGGGUAGCGACCGGUCUAAGUUCCUUGGAACAGGACGUCAUAGAGGGUGAGAAUCCCGUAUGCGACCGGCCCGCGCCCUCCACGUAGCUCCUUCGACGAGUCGAGUUGUUUGGGAAUGCAGCUCUAAAUGGGAGGUAAAUUUCUUCUAAAGCUAAAUACCGGCCAGAGACCGAUAGCGCACAAGUAGAGUGAUCGAAAGAUGAAAAGCACUUUGGAAAGAGAGUUAAAAAGCACGUGAAAUUGUUGAAAGGGAAGCGCUUACAACCAGACUUUGGGGCGGUGUUCCGCCGGUCUUCUGACCGGUCUACUCUCCGUCCCGAGGCCAACAUCAUCUGGGACCGCCGGACAAGACCUGAGGAAUGUAGCUCCCCCUCGGGGGAGUGUUAUAGCCUCUGGUGAUGCGGCGCGUCCCGGGUGAGGUCCGCGCUUCGGCAAGGAUGUUGGCGUAAUGGUUGUCAGCGGCCCGUCUUGA
RNAcentral lists this ribosomal RNA (562 nucleotides) under Zymoseptoria tritici. Its description in RNAcentral is "partial large subunit ribosomal RNA". It matches the Rfam family "Eukaryotic large subunit ribosomal RNA", at positions 73 to 657 of the family's 3401-position model. The record is from RNAcentral. Lineage: Eukaryota; Fungi; Ascomycota; Dothideomycetes; Mycosphaerellales; Mycosphaerellaceae.